RNAcentral lists this ribosomal RNA (468 nucleotides) under uncultured bacterium. Its description in RNAcentral is "partial 16S ribosomal RNA". It matches the Rfam family "Bacterial small subunit ribosomal RNA", at positions 28 to 507 of the family's 1533-position model. The record is from RNAcentral.
GACGAACGCUGGCGGCGUGCUUAACACAUGCAAGUCGAACGGAAAGGCCCUGCUUUUGUGGGGUGCUCGUGUGGCGAACGUGUGAGUAUCACUUGAGUAACCUGCCCUUGACUUUGGGAUAACUUCAGUAAACUGGGGCUAAUACCGGAUAGGAGCUCCUGCUGCAUGGUGGGGGUUGGAAAGUUUCUGCGGUUGGGGAUGGACUCGCGGCUUAUCAGCUUGUUGGUGGGGUAGUGGCUUACCAAGGAUUUGACGGGUAGACGGCAUGAGAGGGUGACCGGCAACAAUGGGAGUGAGAUAGGGCGCAGAAGGCUACGGGAGGAAGCAGUGGGGAAUAUUGAACAAUGGGGGGAAGCAGGAUGAAGCAACGCCGCGUGGGGGAUGAAGGCCUUCGGGUUGUAAAGAGCUUUGGCAUGUGAAGAAGAGGGAGUGACGGUAAUGGGUAAAGAAGCACCGGCUAACUACGUG